Molecule: ribosomal RNA, 622 nt
Filed under: uncultured bacterium
Lineage: Bacteria
Description: bacterial SSU rRNA
Rfam family: Bacterial small subunit ribosomal RNA
Source: RNAcentral
ACUCUUGAAGUCUUAGUGGCGCAGCUAACGCACUAAGUUGACCGCCUGGGGAGUACGGCCGCAAGGUUAAAACUCAAAUGAAUUGACGGGGGCCCGCACAAGCGGUGGAGCAUGUGGUUUAAUUCGACGCAACGCGAAGAACCUUACCUGGCCUUGACAUGCAGAGAACUUUCCAGAGAUGGAUUGGUGCCUUCGGGAACUCUGACACAGGUGCUGCAUGGCCGUCGUCAGCUCGUGUCGUGAGAUGUUGGGUUAAGUCCUGUAACGAGCGCAACCCCUAUCCCUAGUUGCUAGCAGUUCGGCUGAGAACUCUAGGGAGACUGCCGGUGACAAACCGGAGGAAGGUGGGGAUGACGUCAGGUCAUCAUGGCCCUUACGGCCAGGGCUACACACGUGCUACAAUGGUGCGUACAGAGGGCUGCAAACCCGCGAGGGGGAGCUAAUCUCACAAAACGCAUCGUAGUCCGGAUCGGAGUCUGCAACUCGACUCCGUGAAGUCGGAAUCGCUAGUAAUCGCGAAUCAGAAUGUCGCGGUGAAUACGUUCCCGGGCCUUGUACACACCGCCCGUCACACCAUGGGAGUGGAUUGCACCAGAAGUGGUUAGUCUAACCUUCGGGAGGA